CUCUCUUUGUAAUUUAAUUAAUUAAUUAAGGAGUUGGGCCUGCUCGGUGAAAAUUUUAACAGCUGCGGUAUUUUAACUGUACUAAGGUAGCAUAAUAAUUUGCCUUAUAAUUUGAGGCUAGAAUGAAUGGUUUGACGAAGGUUAAUCUGUCUCUAUUUUAUUUCUUAGAAAUUAAUUUUCAUAGUGAAAAAGCUUGAAUUCUUUAAAGGGACGAGAAGACCCUACUGAGCUUAUAAUUUUACUAUUAUUAUAACUAUGUAUUGUCAUAGUAAUAUAUAAAUUUUAAUUGGGGUGAUUAAGGAAUAAAGUAUAUUAGUUAGUAACUUCCUUAGUAGGAUAUAUUGGUGAAUAAAGAACCGAUAUUACGUAUAGAACCGAUAUUGCUUAUAAUAUAGGUACCAUAGGGAUUACAGGCGUAUUUAUUUAAAGAGGUUUUAUUGGAAAAUUAAGAUUGCGACCUCGAUGUGGGAUUAAAGUACCCUUAAGGUGCAGAAGCUUUAAUAGGUAAAUCUGUUCGAUUUUUAAAACUUU
This 531-nucleotide ribosomal RNA is filed under the name Watasenia scintillans (sparkling enope). Its description in RNAcentral is "partial 16S rRNA". It matches the Rfam family "Bacterial large subunit ribosomal RNA", at positions 1816 to 2597 of the family's 2925-position model. The record is from RNAcentral. Lineage: Eukaryota; Metazoa; Mollusca; Cephalopoda; Oegopsida; Enoploteuthidae.